This 485-nucleotide ribosomal RNA is filed under the name Fusarium solani. RNAcentral's name for it is "eukaryotic LSU rRNA". The stretch from base 138 to 291 matches the Rfam family "5.8S ribosomal RNA". Lineage: Eukaryota; Fungi; Ascomycota; Sordariomycetes; Hypocreales; Nectriaceae. The record is from RNAcentral.
UCAUCAACCCUGUGAACUUACCUAUACGUUGCUUCGGCGGGAAUAGACGGCCCCGUAAAACGGGCCGCCCCCGCCAGAGGACCCUUAAUUCUGUUUCUUUUAGUGUAUCUUCUGAGUAAAACAAGCAAAUAAAUUAAAACUUUCAACAACGGAUCUCUUGGCUCUGGCAUCGAUGAAGAACGCAGCGAAAUGCGAUAAGUAAUGUGAAUUGCAGAAUUCAGUGAAUCAUCGAAUCUUUGAACGCACAUUGCGCCCGCCAGUAUUCUGGCGGGCAUGCCUGUUCGAGCGUCAUUACAACCCUCAGGCCCCCGGGCCUGGCGUUGGGGAUCGGCGGAGCCCCCCGUGGGCACACGCCGUCCCUCAAAUACAGUGGCGGUCCCGCCGCAGCUUCCAUCGCGUAGUAGCUAACACCUCGCGACUGGAGAGCGGCGCGGCCACGCCGUAAAACACCCAACUCUUCUGAAGUUGACCUCGAAUCAGGUAGG